CGUGUAGGCGGUUUCUUAAGUCUGAUGUGAAAGCCCCGGGCUCAACCCGGGAAGUGCAUUGGAUACUGGGAGACUUGAAUACGGGAGAGGGUAGUGGAAUUCCUAGUGUAGGAGUGAAAUCCGUAGAUAUUAGGAGGAACACCGGUGGCGAAGGCGGCUACCUGGACCGAUAUUGACGCUGAGACGCGAAAGCGUGGGGAGCAAACAGGAUUAGAUACCCUGGUAGUCCACGCCGUAAACGAUGAGAACUAGGUGUUGCGGGUAUUGACCCCUGCAGUGCCGCAGCUAACGCAUUAAGUUCUCCGCCUGGGAAGUACGGUCGCAAGACUAAA
This 332-nucleotide ribosomal RNA is filed under the name uncultured bacterium. RNAcentral's name for it is "bacterial SSU rRNA". It matches the Rfam family "Bacterial small subunit ribosomal RNA", at positions 568 to 898 of the family's 1533-position model. The record is from RNAcentral.